UAGGGAAUAUUGGGCAAUGGAGGGAACUCUGACCCAGCCAUGCCGCGUGCAGGAUGAAGGCGUUAUGCGUUGUAAACUGCUUUUUAUAUAGGAAGAAAUAGUCCUUGCGAGGAAAGUUGACGGUACUAUGUGAAUAAGCACCGGCUAACUCCGUGCCAGCAGCCGCGGUAAUACGGAGGGUGCAAGCGUUGUCCGGAUUUAUUGGGUUUAAAGGGUGCGUAGGCGGUUUAUUAAGUCAGUGGUGAAAGACGGUCGCUCAACGAUUGCAGUGCCAUUGAUACUGGUAGACUUGAGUAUGAUUGAGGUAGCUGGAAUGGAUAGUGUAGCGGUGAAAUGCAUAGAUAUUAUCCAGAACACCAAUUGCGUAGGCAAGUUACUAAGUCAUAACUGACGCUGAGGCACGAAAGUGUGGGUAUCAAACAGGAUUAGAUACCCAAGUAGUCCCUGAGCGGGCUGGCAAGGCGCAU
RNAcentral lists this ribosomal RNA (467 nucleotides) under uncultured bacterium. RNAcentral describes it as "bacterial SSU rRNA". It matches the Rfam family "Bacterial small subunit ribosomal RNA", at positions 355 to 825 of the family's 1533-position model. The record is from RNAcentral.